GUGGGGAAUAUUGGACAAUGGGCGCAAGCCUGAUCCAGCCAUGCCGCGUGAGUGAUGAAGGCCUUAGGGUUGUAAAGCUCUUUCACCGGUGAAGAUAAUGACGGUAACCGGAGAAGAAGCCCCGGCUAACUUCGUGCCAGCAGCCGCGGUAAUACGAAGGGGGCUAGCGUUGUUCGGAAUUACUGGGCGUAAAGCGCACGUAGGCGGAUAUUUAAGUCAGGGGUGAAAUCCCAGAGCUCAACUCUGGAACUGCCUUUGAUACUGGGUAUCUCGAGUAUGGAAGAGGUAAGUGGAAUUCCGAGUGUAGAGGUGAAAUUCGUAGAUAUUCGGAGGAACACCAGUGGCGAAGGCGGCUUACUGGUCCAUUACUGACGCUGAGGUGCGAAAGCGUGGGGAGCAAACAGGAUUAGAAACCCUUGUAGUCC
RNAcentral lists this ribosomal RNA (425 nucleotides) under uncultured bacterium. Its description in RNAcentral is "partial 16S ribosomal RNA". It matches the Rfam family "Bacterial small subunit ribosomal RNA", at positions 354 to 796 of the family's 1533-position model. The record is from RNAcentral.